This 1091-nucleotide ribosomal RNA is filed under the name uncultured marine group I thaumarchaeote. Its description in RNAcentral is "bacterial SSU rRNA". It matches the Rfam family "Archaeal small subunit ribosomal RNA", at positions 316 to 1408 of the family's 1478-position model. The record is from RNAcentral. Lineage: Archaea; Thermoproteati; Nitrososphaerota.
CCAGGCCCUAUGGGGCGCAGCAGGCGAGAAAACUUUGCAAUGUGCGAAAGCACGACAAGGUUAGUCCGAGUGAUUUCUGCUAAAGAGAUNUUUUGCAAGUUCUAAAACCACUAGUGAAUAAGGGGUGGGCAAGUUCUGGUGUCAGCCGCCGCGGUAAAACCAGCACCUCGAGUGGUCAGGAGGAUUAUUGGGCCUAAAGCAUCCGUAGCCGGCUCUGUAAGUUUUCGGUUAAAUCCAUGCGCUCAACGCAUGGGCUGCCGAAAAUACUGCAGAGCUAGGGAGUGGGAGAGGUAGACGGUACUCGGUAGGAAGGGGUAAAAUCCUUUGAUCUAUCGAUGACCACCUGUGGCGAAGGCGGUCUACCAGAACACGUUCGACGGUGAGGGAUGAAAGCUGGGGGAGCAAACCGGAUUAGAUACCCGGGUAGUCCCAGCUGUAAACGAUGCAGACUCGAUGAUGCAUUGGCAUAUAGCCAGUGCAGUGUCGCAGGGAAGCCGUUAAGUCUGCCGCCUGGGAAGUACGUACGCAAGUAUGAAACUUAAAGGAAUUGGCGGGGGAGCACCACAAGGGGUGAAGCCUGCGGUUCAAUUGGAGUCAACGCCAGAAAUCUUACCCGGAGAGACAGCAGAAUGAAGGUCAAGCUGAAGACUUUACCAGACAAGCUGAGAGGUGGUGCAUGGCCGUCGCCAGCUCGUGCCGCGAGAUGUCCUGUUAAGUCAGGUAACGAGCGAGAUCCCUGCCAUUAGUUGCUAUCAUUAUUCUCAGGAAUAGUGGGGCGAACUAGUGGGACUGUCGUUGUUAAAACGGAGGAAGGAAGGGGCUACGGCAGGUCAGUAUGCCCCGAAACUCUGGGGCCACACGCGGGCUGCAAUGGUAGUGACAAUGAGUUCCAAACUCGAAAGAGAGUGGCAAUCUCCAAACACUACCACAGUUAUGACUGAGGGCUGUAACUCGCCCUCACGAAUAUGGAAUCCCUAGUAACCGCGCGUCAUUACCACGCGGUGAAUACGUCCCUGCUCCUUGCACACACCGCCCGUCGUUUCAUCGAAGUUUGCUUUUAGCGAGGUGAUGUUUAAUUGGCAUUAUCGAAC